UGGGGAAUAUUGCACAAUGGGCGGAAGCCUGAUGCAGCGACGCCGCGUGGGGGAUGAAGGCCUUCGGGUUGUAAACCCCUUUCACCAGGAGCGAAACUGACGGUACCUGGGGAAGAAGCGCCGGCUAACUACGUGCCAGCAGCCGCGGUAAUACGUAGGGCGCAAGCGUUGUCCGGAUUUAUUGGGCGUAAAGAGCUCGUAGGCGGCCUGUUGCGUCCGCUGUGAAAUCCCGGGGCUUAACCCCGGGCCUGCAGUGGAUACGGGCAGGCUAGAGGCAGGCAGGGGAGAACGGAAUUCCUGGUGUAGCGGUGAAAUGCGCAGAUAUCAGGAGGAACACCGGUGGCGAAGGCGGUUCUCUGGGCCUGUUCUGACGCUGAGGAGCGAAAGCGUGGGGAGCGAACAGGAUUAGAUACCCCCGUAGUCC
RNAcentral lists this ribosomal RNA (424 nucleotides) under uncultured bacterium. RNAcentral's name for it is "bacterial SSU rRNA". It matches the Rfam family "Bacterial small subunit ribosomal RNA", at positions 355 to 796 of the family's 1533-position model. The record is from RNAcentral.